CAGUGUUUAUUGCUGUAUUUAGAUAAUGGCUAGCGCAUUAUGAUUUUAAAAUAAUGAGUGUACGCAUGCAGUCCGAGUUUAGUAAAAGCUCUGAAAAACAGAACUGUUUUUCUUUACGCAACCAGACUGCUUGAUAGUAUGAACAUAUAAUACCUGAGCUUAUAGAAUUUACAUGAAGCGAAAAUUAAGAGAAUUUUGAAGUAGAAGCUAUUAUCAGGUGUUUAGGAAUUUUACUGGCGAAAUCAAAGUGCUGGAAAAGCAAAUACUGGAAGCAAUUACUGCUAAUUUGUAUUGG
Molecule: non-coding RNA, 295 nt
Organism: Parasteatoda tepidariorum (common house spider)
Lineage: Eukaryota; Metazoa; Arthropoda; Arachnida; Araneae; Theridiidae
Source: RefSeq, a predicted model, not a curated record